RNAcentral lists this ribosomal RNA (501 nucleotides) under uncultured bacterium. RNAcentral's name for it is "partial 16S ribosomal RNA". It matches the Rfam family "Bacterial small subunit ribosomal RNA", at positions 30 to 523 of the family's 1533-position model. The record is from RNAcentral.
AUUGAACGCUGGCGGCAGGCUUAACACAUGCAAGUCGAGCAGGGGAAGGUAGCUUGCUACUGGACAUAGCGGCGGACGGGUGAGUAAUGCUUAGGAAUCUGCCUAUUAGUGGGGGACAACAUCUAGAAAGGGAUGCUAAUACCGCAUACGUCCUACGGGAGAAAGCAGGGGAUCUUCGGACCUUGCGCUAAUAGAUGAGCCUAGGUAGGAUUGGCUGGUUGGUGGGGUAAAGGCCUACCAAGGCGACGAUCUGUAGCGGGUCUGAGAGGAUGAUCCGCCACACUGGGACUGAGACACGGCCCAGACUCCUACGGGAGGCAGCAGUGGGGAAUAUUGGACAAUGGGGGGAACCCUGAUCCAGCCAUGCCGCGUGUGUGAAGAAGGCCUUAUGGUUAUAAAGCACUUUAAGCGAGGAGGAGGCUACUCUAGUUAAUACCUAGGGAUAGUGGACGUUACUCGCAGAAUAAGCACCGGCUAACUCUGUGCCAGCAGCCGCCGUAA